UGCUGAUCUAAGUACACUGGUGUUUAUAACUAAUUGAUCACAACUACUUACAGAUUUCUGUGUCCCUUCUUCACUCACAGUUCUUCAUUUGAGUAGCUGUU
RNAcentral lists this non-coding RNA (101 nucleotides) under Carlito syrichta (Philippine tarsier). The record is from RNAcentral. Lineage: Eukaryota; Metazoa; Chordata; Mammalia; Primates; Tarsiidae.